GUUAGGGUACGUUGGGGGUGUUAAGUACCCUUUUUAUGGUUUACAGCCAUAAUUAUUUCCCACGCU
RNAcentral lists this transfer RNA (66 nucleotides) under Bugula neritina. RNAcentral's name for it is "tRNA-Val". Lineage: Eukaryota; Metazoa; Bryozoa; Gymnolaemata; Cheilostomatida; Bugulidae. The record is from RNAcentral.